Molecule: ribosomal RNA, 483 nt
Filed under: uncultured bacterium
Lineage: Bacteria
Description: bacterial SSU rRNA
Rfam family: Bacterial small subunit ribosomal RNA
Source: RNAcentral
UCUGUGAACUCCUACGGGAGGCAGCAGUGGGGAAUUUUGGACAAUGGGCGCAAGCCUGAUCCAGCCAUUCCGCGUGAGUGAAGAAGGCCUUCGGGUUGUAAAGCUCUUUCGCAAGGGAAGAAAACUUAUCCUCUAACAUAGGGUGAGGUUGACGGUACCUUGAUAAGAAGCACCGGCUAACUACGUGCCAGCAGCCGCGGUAAUACGUAGGGUGCGAGCGUUAAUCGGAAUUACUGGGCGUAAAGCGUGCGCAGGCGGUUUUGUAAGUCAGAUGUGAAAUCCCCGAGCUCAACUUGGGAACUGCGUUUGAAACUACAAGACUAGAAUAUGUCAGAGGGGGGUAGAAUUCCACGUGUAGCAGUGAAAUGCGUAGAGAUGUGGAGGAAUACCAAUGGCGAAGGCAGCCCCCUGGGAUAAUAUUGACGCUCAUGCACGAAAGCGUGGGGAGCAAACAGGAUUAGAAACCCCAGUAGUCCAUCAGCG